AAAAAAAAAUUAAAAGCCACCCGAACAGUGCUGCAAAUCAGUUGAGGAAAGAGGAUUUUGCCUGCCUUCUUCCUUAUUAUUUUCCCUGCUGCAAGCCUGCUUUGCAAUCCGUAGGAAAUACUGUACCUUAUGGACACAGACAUCAGUCCCAGCUCCCUUUUUUUCCUCGUCUGAAUUAGAAGCUUCAGGAAUGUGCUAAUUGGCGGCGGCCUUGUUAGAGGGGCAAAAGACAGAGCACAAAGAAUUUUCAGUACAAGAUCAUUUGUCAUCAAGUUACGUGUCUUGCCAACAGCAUCCAGCAAGUGACUCAAAGCAGACAAAUAGUUUAUUUCUAUAUACUGAGCUGCCCAAAGGCUACAUGGAGAAAAUGUGGUGAUUAUUGUCCUUCCUUGAUACCAUCCCCUUUGGAAGCCUGUUCCCAUGUUGUUUCACAUGUUAAACAUUUGGAAAACAAAGUUUGAUCCAAAGGUGACUGAAGUCAACAGGAAUCUUUGCACUGAUUUUAAUGAGUCUUUGGAGUGAAGAAGGUAUAAGAACAGAUACACUCUGAAAAUUCUUGUUUAUAUAAGGGGGGAAGGUACUUUUAAAAUGCCAAAAAUACACCAGAAUAAAAUGGUUUCUGAAUACA
RNAcentral lists this long non-coding RNA (628 nucleotides) under Crocodylus porosus (Australian saltwater crocodile). RNAcentral describes it as "lncRNA (ENSCPRG00005009988.1)". The record is from RNAcentral. Lineage: Eukaryota; Metazoa; Chordata; Crocodylia; Crocodylidae.